AUUGAACGCUGGCGGCAGGCCUAACACAUGCAAGUCGAACGGUAACAGGAAGAAGCUUGCUUCUUUGCUGACGAGUGGCGGACGGGUGAGUAAUGUCUGGGAAACUGCCUGAUGGAGGGGGAUAACUACUGGAAACGGUAGCUAAUACCGCAUAACGUCGCAAGACCAAAGAGGGGGACCUUCGGGCCUCUUGCCAUCGGAUGUGCCCAGAUGGGAUUAGCUAGUAGGUGGGGUAACGGCUCACCUAGGCGACGAUCCGUAGCUGGUCUGAGAGGAUGAUCAGCCACACUGGAACUGAGACACGGUCCAGACUCCUACGGGAGGCAGCAGUGGGGAAUAUUGCACAAUGGGCGCAAGCCUGAUGCAGCCAUGCCGCGUGUAUGAAGAAGGCCUUCGGGUUGUAAAGUACUUUCAGCGGGGAGGAAGGGAGUAAAGUUAAUACCUUCGCUCAUUGACGUUACCCGCAGAAGAAGCACCGGCUAACUCCGUG
This 490-nucleotide ribosomal RNA is filed under the name uncultured bacterium. RNAcentral describes it as "partial 16S ribosomal RNA". It matches the Rfam family "Bacterial small subunit ribosomal RNA", at positions 30 to 507 of the family's 1533-position model. The record is from RNAcentral.